This 1337-nucleotide ribosomal RNA is filed under the name Bradysia alpicola. Its description in RNAcentral is "eukaryotic LSU rRNA". It matches the Rfam family "Eukaryotic large subunit ribosomal RNA", at positions 664 to 1859 of the family's 3401-position model. The record is from RNAcentral. Lineage: Eukaryota; Metazoa; Arthropoda; Insecta; Diptera; Sciaridae.
GACCAAGAAGUCUAACAUGUGUGCGAGUCAUUGGGUAUAUUGUUGAAACCUAAGGGCGCAAUUAAAAUAACUAUUUUAUGGGAUUACAAGUGGAUUAAAUUUCAUUUCUUCAUCCCGGGGCGUUCUAUACGAACAUGGUUUAAGCAAUUGAAUCCUCUGUUCAAGAGCGUACCUUGAGCAUACAUGCUGUGACCCGAAAGAUGGUGAACUAUACCUGAUCAGAUCGAAGCCAGGAGAAAUUCUGGUGGAGGAUCGAAACAGUUCUGACGUGCAAAUCGAUUGUCAGAAUUGGGUAUAGGGGCGAAAGACCAAUCGAACCAUCUAGUAGCUGGUUCCCUCCGAAGUUUCCCUCAGGAUAGCUGGCGCAAAGAAUUAUAUUGUAUAUAAUCUUAUCUGGUAAAGCGAAUGAUUAGAGGCCUUGGGGCCGAAACGACCUCAACCUAUUCUCAAACUUUAAAUGGGUAAGAACCUCAUCUUUCUUGAUCUGAAGAUAUUGGGGUUUAGAUAUAUUGUGCCCAGUGGGCCACUUUUGGUAAGCAGAACUGGCGCUGUGGGAUGAACCAAACAUGAUGUUACGGCGCCUAAAUUAAUGACUCAUAUUGAUACCAUGAAAGGCGUUGGUUGCUUAAAACAGCAGGACGGUGGACAUGGAAGUCGUAAUCCGCUAAGGAGUGUGUAACAACUCACCUGCCGAAGCAACUAGCCCUUAAAAUGGAUGGCGCUCAAGUCAUAUGCCUAUACAUCAUCGCUAGAAUAAAAAUUGUUGGCCGUUCGGUCAUCAAUGUGAAAUUCUAGUGAGUAGGAGGGUACAAUGGUGUGCGCAGAAGUGUUUGGCGUGAGCCUGCAUGAAGCCGCCAUUGGCACAGAUCUUGGUGGUAGUAGCAAAUAAUCGAAUGAGAUCUUGGAGGACUGAAGUGGAGAAGGGUUUCGUGUGAACAGUGGUUGAUCACGAGUUAGUCGGUCCUAAGCUUUAUGCGAAAGCUGUUUAAUUUAUGUUACACACAAUUUUUUUUUUGUUGUACAUAAUUCAAUAAAAGCGAAAGGGAAUACGGUUCCAAUUCCGUAACCUGUUGAGUAUACGUUUGUUUAUUAAAAAUGGGUCUUAUUACACUCAUCCUGGCAACAGGAACGACCAUAGAGAAGCCUUCGAGAGAUACUGGAAGAGUUUUCUUUUCUGCUAAACAAGCGUACCACCAUGGAAGUCUUUUAUAGAGAGAUAUGGUGGAUGGCUUGGAAGAGCAUGACAUUUACUGUUGUGUCAGUAUUUUCUCCUUGGACCUUGAAAAUCUAUGGUGGGGCCACGCAAACUUCUCAACAGACCGUACCGAUAUCCGCAG